UUGGUGGUUAGAUGCCAAAAUGGCUUCUCAUA
This 32-nucleotide non-coding RNA is filed under the name Mus musculus (house mouse). The record is from RNAcentral. Lineage: Eukaryota; Metazoa; Chordata; Mammalia; Rodentia; Muridae.